This 1120-nucleotide long non-coding RNA is filed under the name Pogona vitticeps (central bearded dragon). RNAcentral describes it as "lncRNA (ENSPVIG00000018135.1)". The record is from RNAcentral. Lineage: Eukaryota; Metazoa; Chordata; Lepidosauria; Squamata; Agamidae.
UAUUGUUCCCUCCUUCUGUGCUCUUUGGGGAAAUAGGAAUUACAGAACGUAAUUUGCAGGACAUAAGAAGUGAAUCCAGGGAUACCGGGGUGUGUGUGUCGUACUGAACUAUUUUCUUUUUGUUAUCAAUAGCUUAAUUUAACUUCUAUGGGAUGAAAACAGGUUGGAGAGAGAAAAUAAUCAGGUAAUAUAACACAGAGGGACACAGCAGUAGUGACAAAAAUGAUGAAGGUUAUGACAAGAUGGGAAAAUUUGGGGUCAUCUGGGCUGUGUUUUAAAAGCUCUUAUCUUCAGUGUGAUCUAUUAUAUUUUUAAUAAGUGCCAUAGCGCUACAGUAAUACAUCAACCCAGCGUGGGCAGUUCCUUAUCUCUGAAAUAGCGCUGUGUCACUUAGGGUAAUCUUUUCCCAAAAAACUGUAGGUUCUCUAGAGACAAUAUUAGCUGUCUGCUUGAGACCUUGAACCUGUGCAUGUUUCCUCAGAUGUAAACCCUACAUUACUCAGUGAAACCUCCCCCAUGUCAGCACACACAGCUGCAGAUGUAAACCCUACAUUACUCAGUGAAACCCCCAUGUCAGCACACACAACUGCUGUCAGUGUAAUGUAUUUAAAAAGCAGCGAAAUAAUCGGCCUCAAUGCCUUGUAUUCUUCCCAUUUCUGACUUUUUCUAAAGGAUGUGUUCCGAAUGAAGGACUCCACUGGGAUAAAAACCUCUUCCAGGGGCACACCAGACCCGGGGGCCUCAUGGCCACACCUCAGCGUCUCCCUGGAAGACAAUCUAUCAGCUCCCGCCAAAAUAUUGGGCCACAGGAAGAUGGCACCGAGGACCAUUUUGGGCUUCAACCUGGAUCAAGGGGCCACAUCCUGGCCCAGCCCCAAGCCUGCGGUACGUCUUUGCUUUCUGUCAACCACGGCAAUACGGUCCUCGCAGAAGAGCCGGUUGAUAGAAGCGAGCCACCGGAUUCCACCAGCCAGGUAAGGGGUUGUACACGCAAGGGAGCCUGUUGUCCUCCUCUUAAUUGGCUCUUUAUUACUUAGUGUGUGUGUGUGUGUGUUUUGUGCAGUCAAGUCGGAAACAACCAAUAGCCACCUUAACAAGAGCUUUUCAAGGGAAGUGAGAU